CGUUGCCUUUAUUUACUUGUCACUGAAUUUAUAUUGAAAGUCUGUUACAUAAAUGUUUUACUACAAGUAUCACAUAAACUUAACAUUGGCCCAUAAACCAUGAAAAUUAGGUCAAGGUCAUGUGAACCCUGCAAUACAGAAAUUUACAUCUUACAAUACUUCCAUUCACCAAAUAUAGUUGACUUUUUGCUCAUAUUAUCUGAUUAACUGACAAAAUCACAAAACUUAUAAUUGACCAAUAAACAUGAAAGUAAGAACAAUGUCAUAUGACUCCUGCCAUACAGACUUAUACACCUCACAAUUAUUCUAUACACUAAAUGUUAUUGACAUAUAGCCUAUACCAU
RNAcentral lists this long non-coding RNA (344 nucleotides) under Mytilus galloprovincialis (Mediterranean mussel). Lineage: Eukaryota; Metazoa; Mollusca; Bivalvia; Mytilida; Mytilidae. The record is from RNAcentral.